This 253-nucleotide long non-coding RNA is filed under the name Elaeis guineensis (African oil palm). RNAcentral describes it as "long non-coding RNA (EGUI_LNC021365)". The record is from RNAcentral. Lineage: Eukaryota; Viridiplantae; Streptophyta; Magnoliopsida; Arecales; Arecaceae.
AUCUCCUUGGGGCUUUGCUUCCCGCUGGGGUGUGCCCCGAACUGAAGCCAACGACAACAGCCGGGUGGAGGCGGACGACCGGGAGGACUUUCACCGACUGAAGGACAUGUCGGUCCCGAAGCAGAGGGAGCUUGUUACCGAACAAGCUCUCUAUGAUGCCGGCUUGAGUCUGGUCCCCCGAAUAGGUAUCGCCCGAUCCCCCGGUCUUUCUUUUCGUUCGGCUCUUGGUCCAGUCUUUAACACUUUCGUCGGU